ACGAACGCUGGCGGCAGGCCUAACACAUGCAAGUCGAACGGAUGUAGCAAUACAUUAGUGGCGCACGGGUGAGUAACACGUGGGAACCUACCCUUUGGUACGGAAUAACUCAGGGAAACUUGGGCUAAUACCGUAUGCCCUCUACGGAGGAAAGAUUUAUCGCCAAAGGAUGGGCCCGCGCCGGAUUAGCUAGUUGGUGAGGUAACGGCUCACCAAGGCUUCGAUCCGUAGCUGGUCUGAGAGGAUGACCAGCCACACUGGGACUGAGACACGGCCCAGACUCCUACGGGAGGCAGCAGUGGGGAAUAUUGGACAAUGGGCGAAAGCCUGAUCCAGCCAUGCCGCGUGAGUGAUGAAGGCUCUAGGGUUGUAAAGCUCUUUCGCCGGGGAAGAUAAUGACGGUACCCGGAGAAGAAGCCUCGGCUAACUCCGU
RNAcentral lists this ribosomal RNA (433 nucleotides) under uncultured bacterium. RNAcentral describes it as "bacterial SSU rRNA". It matches the Rfam family "Bacterial small subunit ribosomal RNA", at positions 29 to 506 of the family's 1533-position model. The record is from RNAcentral.